CAGAGGGUGCAAACGUUGCUCGGAAUUACUGGGCGUAAAGCGCGUGUAGGCGGGUUUCCAAGUCAGAUGUGAAAUCCCUGGGCUCAACCCAGGAACUGCAUUUGAAACUGGGAGUCUUGAGUAUCGGAGAGGAAAGCGGAAUUCCUGGUGUAGAGGUGAAAUUCGUAGAUAUCAGGAGGAACACCGGUGGCGAAGGCGGCUUUCUGGACGAUAACUGACGCUGAGACGCGAAAGCGUGGGGAGCAAACAGGAUU
Molecule: ribosomal RNA, 254 nt
Filed under: uncultured bacterium
Lineage: Bacteria
Description: partial 16S ribosomal RNA
Rfam family: Bacterial small subunit ribosomal RNA
Source: RNAcentral